GCCCUGGUGGUGAAAUUGGUAGACGCGCCGGAUUCAAAAUCCGGUUCCGCAAGGAGUGUCGGUUCGAGUCCGACCCGGGGCACCA
This 85-nucleotide transfer RNA is filed under the name Burkholderiales bacterium RIFCSPHIGHO2_01_FULL_63_240. Its description in RNAcentral is "tRNA-Leu". It matches the Rfam family "tRNA". From Rfam's summary of the family: Transfer RNA (tRNA) molecules are approximately 80 nucleotides in length. Their secondary structure includes four short double-helical elements and three loops (D, anti-codon, and T loops). The record is from RNAcentral. RNAcentral also lists the same sequence under 4 other names. Lineage: Bacteria; Pseudomonadati; Pseudomonadota; Betaproteobacteria; Burkholderiales.